CCUACGGGAGGCUGCAGUAGGGAAUAUUGCUCAAUGGGGGAAACCCUGAAGCAGCAACGCCGCGUGGAGGAUGAAGGUUUUCGGAUUGUAAACUCCUUUUGUUAGAGAAGAUAAUGACGGUAUCUAACGAAUAAGCACCGGCUAACUCCGUGCCAGCAGCCGCGGUAAUACGGAGGGUGCCAGCGUUACUCGGAAUCACUUGGCGGAAAGAGCGCGUAGGCGGGAUAGCAAGUCAGAUGUGAAAUCCUAUGGCUUAACCAUAGAACUGCAUUUGAAACGGUUAUUCUAGAGUAUGGGAGAGGUAGGUGGAAUUCUUGGUGUAGGGGUAAAAUCCGUAGAGAUCAAGAGGAAUACGCAUGGCGAAGGCGACCUGCUAGAACAUAACUGACGCGGAUGCGCGAAAGCGUGGGGAGCAAACAGGAUUAGAUACCCCAGUAGUC
RNAcentral lists this ribosomal RNA (440 nucleotides) under uncultured bacterium. Its description in RNAcentral is "partial 16S ribosomal RNA". It matches the Rfam family "Bacterial small subunit ribosomal RNA", at positions 338 to 795 of the family's 1533-position model. The record is from RNAcentral.